UGUGAGUCUGUCUUGGUGUUUACAGGGACGUCCUCCAUCUUCUCGGUGUCCCCGGUGAAGGCCGAGGGGCCGAGCGGCUACAGCGAGCCGGAGGAGAACAGCGGCCCCGGCAGGGAGGCCCCCAGAGUGCGGCUCUCCCCCACCAUGCGCUACUCCGGCAUGGAGGUGUUCGCCCCCAAAGUGCAGUUUCGGGACCCCCGUUCUCACCGCAGCCACCACGCCCAGGUGGGGUUCCAGGUGUGCGUGCGUCCGGGCUCCUACAAGGCGGGGCCGCAGACUCUGGGCCACAGCGAGCCCCUGGACCCUCGCUUCAGCAACUCCGAGAUCGAAUG
This is a long non-coding RNA of Pseudoliparis swirei, 332 nucleotides long. RefSeq lists it as uncharacterized. The transcript has 3 exons. The record is from RefSeq and is a predicted model, not a curated record. Lineage: Eukaryota; Metazoa; Chordata; Actinopteri; Perciformes; Liparidae.